AUUGAACGCUGGCGGAAUGCUUUACACAUGCAAGUCGAGCGGCAGCGCGGCCUUCGGGCUGGCGGCGAGCGGCGAACGGGUGAGUAAUGCAUCGGAACAUGCCCAGUCGUGGGGGAUAACACUUCGAAAGAAGUGCUAAUACCGCAUACGACCUGAGGGGGAAAGCGGGGGAUCGCAAGACCUCGCGCGAUUGGAGUGGCCGAUGUCAGAUUAGCUAGUUGGUGGGGUAAAGGCCUACCAAGGCGACGAUCUGUAGCUGGUCUGAGAGGAUGACCAGCCACACUGGGACUGAGACACGGCCCAGACUCCUACGGGAGGCAGCAGUGGGGAAUUUUGGACAAUGGGGGCAACCCUGAUCCAGCCAUGCCGCGUGAGUGAAGAAGGCCUUCGGGUUGUAAAGCUCUUUCGGCAGGAACGAAACGGUGGGCUCUAACAUAGUCCGCUAAUGACGGUACCUGAAGAAGAAGCACCGGCUAACUACGUG
RNAcentral lists this ribosomal RNA (484 nucleotides) under uncultured bacterium. RNAcentral describes it as "partial 16S ribosomal RNA". It matches the Rfam family "Bacterial small subunit ribosomal RNA", at positions 29 to 507 of the family's 1533-position model. The record is from RNAcentral.